UACGUAGGGUGCGAGCGUUAAUCGGAAUUACUGGGCGUAAAGCGUGCGCAGGCGGUCUGUUAAGACCGAUGUGAAAUCCCCGGGCUUAACCUGGGAACUGCAUUGGUGACUGGCAGGCUUUGAGUGUGGCAGAGGGAGGUAGAAUUCCACGUGUAGCAGUGAAAUGCGUAGAGAUGUGGAGGAAUACCGAUGGCAAAGGCAGCCUCCUGGGCCAACACUGACGCUCAUGCACGAAAGCGUGGGGAGCAAACAGG
This 254-nucleotide ribosomal RNA is filed under the name uncultured bacterium. RNAcentral describes it as "partial 16S ribosomal RNA". It matches the Rfam family "Bacterial small subunit ribosomal RNA", at positions 524 to 776 of the family's 1533-position model. The record is from RNAcentral.